GUCAACGUUCCCUGCCCUUGUGGAGCUGACAUUCUAACAGGACCAGAGGAUUCUAAGGAGGACGAGAUGGGUGUGGCUCCUGCUGUCCUAGGAGCCCUUGGUCUGAAUGUCCGGCGCUGAGUGGGCUGGCUGAGGGCAUGGGGGUGGCAUGAGACAGGGCUGGAGGAUGGCUUGGAUGGGUGACCUGUGAGCACAGGAUAAGGCCCUGAGAAGCCAGGCGAGGGAAAUUAGCAGGAGCCCAAACUGUUUGGCCGAGGCCCACUUUAAGAACCACUGAUGCCUGGCUUCUGGAAAGACCUGAGGACUUCAUUCAUCCAGUCUCUCCCCUUCAAGCUUAUCCUUUAUGUAAUUAAAGCC
Balaenoptera musculus (blue whale) is the source of this 357-nucleotide long non-coding RNA. RefSeq lists it as uncharacterized. The record is from RefSeq and is a predicted model, not a curated record. The transcript is spliced from 3 exons. NCBI's taxonomy places the organism in Eukaryota, Metazoa, Chordata, Mammalia, Artiodactyla, Balaenopteridae.